AACCAGUGAUGAAAAUGAUUCUGCCAUAUGAGCCAGGAUGAUAUCACUACUAACCGUUCCACUUUUUUCUGAGGCU
Molecule: small nucleolar RNA, 76 nt
Organism: Hyla sarda
Lineage: Eukaryota; Metazoa; Chordata; Amphibia; Anura; Hylidae
Product: small nucleolar RNA SNORD47
Exons: 1
Source: RefSeq, a predicted model, not a curated record